GAUGGACGCUGGCGGCGUGCCUAAUACAUGCAAGUCGAGCGAACAGAUGAGGAGCUUGCUCCUCUGACGUUAGCGGCGGACGGGUGAGUAACACGUGGAUAACCUACCUAUAAGACUGGGAUAACUUCGGGAAACCGGAGCUAAUAUCGGAUAAUAUAUUGAACCGCAUGGUUCAAUAGUGAAAGACGGUUUUGCUGUCACUUAUAGAUGGAUCCGCGCCGCAUUAGCUAGUUGGUAAGGUAACGGCUUACCAAGGCAACGAUGCGUAGCCGACCUGAGAGGGUGAUCGGCCACACUGGAACUGAGACACGGUCCAGACUCCUACGGGAGGCAACAGUAGGGAAUCUUCCGCAAUGGGCGAAAGCCUGACGGAGCAACGCCGCGUGAGUGAUGAAGGUCUUCGGAUCGUAAAACUCUGUUAUUAGGGAAGAACAAAUGUGUAAGUAACUAUGCACGUCUUGACGGUACCUAAUCAGAAAGCCACGGCUAACUACGUG
This 497-nucleotide ribosomal RNA is filed under the name uncultured bacterium. RNAcentral describes it as "partial 16S ribosomal RNA". It matches the Rfam family "Bacterial small subunit ribosomal RNA", at positions 28 to 507 of the family's 1533-position model. The record is from RNAcentral.